Long non-coding RNA from Acanthopagrus latus (yellowfin seabream), 646 nucleotides. RefSeq lists it as uncharacterized. The record is from RefSeq and is a predicted model, not a curated record. The transcript has 6 exons. Lineage: Eukaryota; Metazoa; Chordata; Actinopteri; Spariformes; Sparidae.
CCUGCCACUCCAUUCGGGGGCCGAUGAGAUUCGUCAGCGUCUGUCCCAUCUGCUGUGUUUACGACUCAUUUGUUUACUCGCUGGUUCACAUCAGAGCUCACUGCAACCAAGGGGGGGGGGGAUUCCCUCAGCGCAGGGCUGGGUUCGGGCUCGGAGACAGUGACUACUGCUGCCGUCGCUAUGAAUCUUCCAGAGAAAAGGUUUAAGAGGGGCCUGUCACACCACAGGAGCACAGUGUGGUCCCACUGAAACCACAAAGCUAAGGGCAGAGUCUAACAAGGAAUCUAAGAUGUCAGACCGUGUGAAACCAAUGGCUGAGGAGCCCAAAGAAAUCAGUUAAUACGCUGGUCUGUAGAGAAGCUCCCCAGAGGCAAGUCUGCGUUUCAGCUCCUGCCACAGCAGAUCCCUCUCCUUCUGGGCUCCCCUCAUGAAGCCUCUGUUCUCUUGGGCUCUCCGAGACAGGUCCUUUAAAACACGUCUACCUAAUGGAAGCGAGAAAGAAGUGGCACCCAGUGUUUUAUGCUACUGACCUCCACAUUUGGGACGACCAGCAGGUCUGAUAUCUUUGUUCUCUCAUCUAUCAGGCUGUUCCAGUCGAGCACAUCAAUGGUUCUGUCAAGGCAGAGGGUAGAAAUGUUUUGUAAAG